RNAcentral lists this ribosomal RNA (631 nucleotides) under [Candida] sp. 12NJ03. RNAcentral's name for it is "eukaryotic LSU rRNA". The stretch from base 243 to 396 matches the Rfam family "5.8S ribosomal RNA". The record is from RNAcentral. Lineage: Eukaryota; Fungi; Ascomycota; Saccharomycetes; Saccharomycetales.
GAGGAAGUAAAAGUCGUAACAAGGUUUCCGUAGGUGAACCUGCGGAAGGAUCAUUACAGUAUUCGAUUGCCUGCGCUUAAUUGCGCGGCGAUUAACCUUACACCAGUGUUUUUUUUAUUAGAACUAUUACUUUGGUCUGGCUAAGAAAUUAGGUGGGCCAAAGGUUUAAUUAAACUUCAAUUUUAUUGAAUUGUUAUUUUAUUUUAUGUCAAUUUGUUGAUUAAUUUCAAAACAAUCUUCAAAACUUUCAACAACGGAUCUCUUGGUUCUCGCAUCGAUGAAGAACGCAGCGAAAUGCGAUAAGUAAUAUGAAUUGCAGAUUUUCGUGAAUCAUCGAAUCUUUGAACGCACAUUGCACCCUCUGGUAUUCCAGAGGGUAUGCCUGUUUGAGCGUCAUUUCUCUCUCAAACCUUCGGGUUUGGUAUUGAGUGAUACUCUUAGUUAAACUGAGCGUUUGCUUGAAAUAUAUUGGCACGAGUGGUGCUGAGCAUGUCUCUGAAUAUCAAUGUAUUAGGUUUAUCCAACUCGUUGUUUUUCUUGGGCCGACUCUGUACUAGGCUCUGCCUUAUAAAUCCAAACAAGUUUGACCUCAAAUCAGGUAGGAUUACCCGCUGAACUUAAGCAUAUCAUA